CUCUUAUAAAGAGAGGUGGAGGGAAGUGCCCUAUGAAGCCCGGCAACCAUCACAUUAUGUGAAAAGGUGCCAAUUCACGCAAGGACUGUAUGGUCUUUGAGAGAUGAGAG
Molecule: non-coding RNA, 110 nt
Filed under: Kurthia sp. 11kri321
Lineage: Bacteria; Bacillati; Bacillota; Bacilli; Caryophanales; Caryophanaceae
Also listed under: 1 other name
Description: SAM riboswitch aptamer (S box leader)
Rfam family: SAM riboswitch aptamer (S box leader)
About the family: The SAM riboswitch is found upstream of a number of genes which code for proteins involved in methionine or cysteine biosynthesis in Gram-positive bacteria. The SAM riboswitch acts at the level of transcription termination control.
Source: Rfam by way of RNAcentral